Sitophilus oryzae (rice weevil) is the source of this 386-nucleotide long non-coding RNA. RefSeq lists it as uncharacterized. Lineage: Eukaryota; Metazoa; Arthropoda; Insecta; Coleoptera; Curculionidae. The record is from RefSeq and is a predicted model, not a curated record. The transcript has 2 exons.
CAUAAAUGUAAUAUUUGCGAGAAACAUUAUGGGCACAAAUUUAGGUUAGACCAGCACAUGCUGAGCCACACAAAAGAAAAACCUCACAGCUGCGACAUUUGUGGAGAAAAAUUCCGAUUUAAAGGUAACAUUAAGAGACAUAAAGCAACCUGUCAUUAUAGUAAUGAAUUUAGCCAUAAAACUGUUGAGUCUUUGUAAAUUGUUUAUAAGAAAUAUACAUAUAAGUUUUUUUUACAUGAAUAUAUUCUAUUAUACUGUUUUUAUUUUUUUUUUAAUUAUCACUCUGUAUUAGAGAUGAGACGAAUAUUCGAAAUACUCUGGAUGAGAAUUAAGCCAUUUCAUGCCAGUUAUAGUUUGUUAUGAAUAAAUAAAUAUGUUAAAAACCA